UGGGGAAUAUUGGACAAUGGGGGAAACCCUGAUCCAGCCAUGCCGCGUGAAUGAUGAAGGCCUUCGGGUUGUAAAGUUCUUUUGACGGGGACGAUGAUGACGGUACCCGUAGAAUAAGCUCCGGCUAACUUCGUGCCAGCAGCCGCGGUAAUACGGAGGGAGCUAGCGUUGUUCGGAAUUACUGGGCGUAAAGGGCGCGUAGGCGGUUUAACAAGUUGGGUGUGAAAGCCCUGGGCUCAACCCGGGAACUGCACUCAAAACUGUUUUACUUGAAUUCGGUAGAGGUUGGUGGAAUUCCCAGUGUAGAGGUGAAAUUCGUAGAUAUUGGGAAGAACACCGGUGGCGAAGGCGGCCAACUGGACCGACAUUGACGCUGAGGCGCGAAAGCGUGGGGAUCAAACAGG
This 404-nucleotide ribosomal RNA is filed under the name uncultured bacterium. Its description in RNAcentral is "bacterial SSU rRNA". It matches the Rfam family "Bacterial small subunit ribosomal RNA", at positions 355 to 776 of the family's 1533-position model. The record is from RNAcentral.